Molecule: non-coding RNA, 194 nt
Organism: Plectropomus leopardus (leopard coralgrouper)
Lineage: Eukaryota; Metazoa; Chordata; Actinopteri; Perciformes; Serranidae
Source: RefSeq, a predicted model, not a curated record
GGGUAGAUGAGCGGACCGUGUGUUUCACAACAGAAGCGGAGGAGAACCGGGAUCCUGGACUGAUGAGAGCCGUGUAUUGUGCCCUGUGCCUGGAGUGUGUGUGUGUACAUGAACUGUGAGCCUCUGGUGAGUAACUUUUACUGAAGUUAGUCUGAUAAAUUGAGUGAAAUGUGCUGCUUCUGCUAAUGUUAAUA